GGCGAGAUGGCCGAGCGGUCUAAGGCGCUGUGUUAAGGUUCUCCGUCUCUCGACUCCGAGAGCGGUUAUCCUCCGCAGUCUUCGGACGUGGGUUCGAAUCCCACUCUCGUCA
Molecule: transfer RNA, 112 nt
Organism: Trichosporon asahii var. asahii CBS 8904
Lineage: Eukaryota; Fungi; Basidiomycota; Tremellomycetes; Trichosporonales; Trichosporonaceae
Rfam family: tRNA
About the family: Transfer RNA (tRNA) molecules are approximately 80 nucleotides in length. Their secondary structure includes four short double-helical elements and three loops (D, anti-codon, and T loops).
Source: Rfam